GAUUCUCUUUUGUCAAGAUAAACAAAAACGAAGCCAAGCACACAGAAAGAGGCUCUUGCAUAACAGGUACAGAAGACGUUCACAACCUCAGCCACUGAAAAUCUUGGAUUUUCAAAGCCACCCUCAUCUCCUCCUCAUCAUCAUCUAUCCAGCACCUGUGGCCCUGCAGAGGGGAAGUUCCAGGGGAGAGGAAACCCCC
Molecule: long non-coding RNA, 199 nt
Organism: Xiphophorus maculatus (southern platyfish)
Lineage: Eukaryota; Metazoa; Chordata; Actinopteri; Cyprinodontiformes; Poeciliidae
Exons: 3
Source: RefSeq, a predicted model, not a curated record